AGAGUUUGAUCCUGGCUCAGAUUGAACGCUGGCGGCAUGCCUUACACAUGCAAGUCGAACGGCAGCACGGGAGCAAUCCUGGUGGCGAGUGGCGAACGGGUGAGUAAUAUAUCGGAACGUACCUUGGAGUGGGGGAUAACGUAGCGAAAGUUACGCUAAUACCGCAUAUUCUGUGCGCAGGAAAGCAGGGGAUCUUAGGACCUUGUGCUCUUUGAGCGGCCGAUAUCAGAUUAGCUAGUUGGUGAGGUAAAGGCUCACCAAGGCGACGAUCUGUAGCGGGUCUGAGAGGAUGAUCCGCCACACUGGAACUGAGACACGGUCCAGACUCCUACGGGAGGCAGCAGUGGGGAAUUUUGGACAAUGGGGGCAACCCUGAUCCAGCCAUGCCGCGUGAGUGAAGAAGGCCUUCGGGUUGUAAAGCUCUUUCGGCCGGGAAGAAAUCGCAUCGGUUAAUACCCGGUGUGGAUGACGGUACCGGAAUAAGAAGCACCGGCUAACUACGUGCCAGCAGCCGCGGUAAUACGUAGGGUGCGAGCGUUAAUCGGAAUUACUGGGCGUAAAGCGUGCGCAGGCGGUUUGUUAAGAUAGGCGUGAAAUCCCCGGGCUCAACCUGGGAACUGCGCUUAUGACUGGCAGGCUAGAGUACGGCAGAGGGGGGUGGAAUUCCACGUGUAGCAGUGAAAUGCGUAGAGAUGUGGAGGAACACCAAUGGCGAAGGCAGCCCUCUGGGUCGAUACUGACGCUCAUGCACGAA
RNAcentral lists this ribosomal RNA (754 nucleotides) under uncultured bacterium. RNAcentral describes it as "bacterial SSU rRNA". It matches the Rfam family "Bacterial small subunit ribosomal RNA", at positions 8 to 757 of the family's 1533-position model. The record is from RNAcentral.